Molecule: non-coding RNA, 1975 nt
Organism: Nelumbo nucifera (sacred lotus)
Lineage: Eukaryota; Viridiplantae; Streptophyta; Magnoliopsida; Proteales; Nelumbonaceae
Source: RefSeq, a predicted model, not a curated record
CUGUACGUUACGUUUCAUGCGAAGAACACGUUUCAUGUGGAGCGGCAGAGCGUGUCUCAUCAAGACUCAUUUACUUGCGAAGGACACGUUUCACACUCCCAGCUUAUUCACGCGGACAAGGCGGAACUACGACGUCUUCCUGAGUUUCAGAGGCGGAGAGUCCAACAGUUACUUUAUCGAUCACCUGUACACUACUUUGGAUGAAAGGGGAAUCCGCACCUUCAGAGACGGACCAACUCAAGAUAGGAGAAAACAUAUCUUCAGAACUGCUAAAUUUAAUAGAAGAGGCAAGGGCAUCGAUAAUUGUUUUGUGGAAUGCAGGAACACAGGAAGCCGGUUGGUGCUUCCUGUUUUCUUUGAUGUCAAUCCGUCGGAUGUUCGGAAACAGAGCGGGAGUUAUGAGUAAGCAUUUGCUAGACACAAAGAAGAGUAUUACAAGGUGGGGAAGAUGAAGGAGAAGGUGCAGAGGUGCAGAGGUGGAGGACAGCUCUCACCGAAGCUGCCAAUUUGUCCGGGUGGGAUGUAUGAAAUGCUAACAAAAGGUAAUUCUGAAUCAGUUCCCGUCUGCUAUUUGUUCUGGCAAAAAUUAUAUGAUAACCAGAUACUCUGGUUCCCUGUCUAUCUUCCCGCUCUCUCUCUCUCUCUCUCUCACCACUUCCUCUGAAAACUGGGGACCUUUGCUCCUGCUUGGCUUCUGUCUCGUCUACAUCGGUUGCAGAUCAGGUUUUCAAGUUCAGGCCGAAGACACGAGCUUGCAGCUAACGACAGAGGCCCUGGAAUGGCCUUCUACUGCUUGGCUUCUGUCUCGUCUACAUCGGUUGCAGAUCAGGUGUUCAAGUUCAGGCCGAAGACACGAGCUUGCAGCUAAUGAUAGAGGCCAGGAAUGGCCUUCUACAAUGCCAUUCGAUGAUGAGUGUUGGUGCUCGGAUUGACUUUGAGGGUUCGGAGAGGUUGCUGCCGAGGACGAGGUAUGCAGGCCGAGGCGGAGGAGGCUCCGAGUACUGCGGAAGCCAAAGGCAGGUGGCCAAGGUGGUGCUGGAUGAUGGGAAAUCUCAAUGGACCGUUGCUACCAAUGACAACGCCAUCUCAUCUCAGCAUGCAGUAACAAAAUAUCGAGUGAUGAAAUCUUUAGCUCAUGCUCCGUGUCCACUGUGCUGAGGUCCUGGGGACACCAAUAGUUGGAGACUACAAGUAUGGUUGGCAAGCUCACAGGAAAUGGAAACCUCUUUCUUGGUCAAACUCUCAGAAGAAUAAGAAACUUCCAAGGUCAAAGGAGUGUCCAUUUGGCCUUAGUUCAGAGGGUGGAAGCAUUGUAGAGAAGCAGCCUCACCUGCAUCUUCAUUGUAGACAGAUGAUUUUGCCUAAUAUAUCCCUGGCUCUACAACAUUUGAAAUCAUCUUCAAAUUGUGAUCUUUCAGAACUGGAGAGCCUCAAUCUGGUUGCACAAAUAUUUGUUUCCCCUUCUCCAUUUAUUUUUGUUCUCCAUUUUUCAUAGUCUUCUAUGCCUUCUUCUUAGACAAAUAUUUGUUUGAUUUAGAUGGAGAUUUAGAUGGAGGGUAGCAAAGAUUGGGUUCUGUCCACUAGAUAGGAUGGUUGCAGUUUGCAAAAAGAUGAAAUCUCCAUCAAUAAAUUGCAUGUGAUUGAUGGUGGAAAUCAUCCUUCAAGAUUGGAUAAAAGCACUUACAAUCAAAUGGAUCAAAACCAAAGAUGAAGAUGAGGAUAAGACAGUCAAGGCAAUUACAGAGUUUGUUGGCGAAACUUCGAAGAGUAAGUGAUGUGUGAUGUCCUAUAACUCUUGUCCUUGUGUGAGACAUGUAUCCAUUCUAUAUCAGUGACAUUUUGAUAUUUUUAUAUCAUUUUGGUAGUCUAUGUAAAUAUUUCCUUGUUUGUAAAUCGCAUAGUUGACAAGGUGUUUAGGUGACUUUGGGUGAACAGAAUCUUGCCAAAUUAAUUGAUAUCUCGGUUCUCUCUGCCA